This 844-nucleotide ribosomal RNA is filed under the name uncultured archaeon. Its description in RNAcentral is "bacterial SSU rRNA". It matches the Rfam family "Archaeal small subunit ribosomal RNA", at positions 17 to 869 of the family's 1478-position model. The record is from RNAcentral.
GCAGAGGCCACUGCUAUCGGGGUUUGACUAAGCCAUGCGAGUCGAGAGGUGUAAGACCUCGGCGUACUGCUCAGUAACACGUGGACAAUCUGCCCUGAAGUGGAGGAUAAUCCCGGGAAACUGGGGGUAAUACUCCAUAGUUCGUGCUGACUGGAAUGUUAUGCGAACGAAAGAUCCGUCGCUUCAGGAUGAGUCUGCGGCCGAUUAGGUAGUUGUUGGGGUAACGGCCCAACAAGCCUGUCAUCGGUACGGGUUGUGGGAGCAAGAGCCCGGAGAUGGAUUCUGAGACACGAAUCCAGGCCCUACGGGGCGCAGCAGGCGCGAAAACUUUACCAUGCGGGCAACCGUGAUAAGGAAACCCCGAGUGCCAGCACAGGCUGGCUGUCCGCCAGUGUAAAUAACUGGUGAAGAAAGGGCCGGGCAAGACCGGUGCCAGCCGCCGCGGUAAUACCGGCGGCUCGAGUGGUGGCCACUAUUACUGGGCUUAAAGGGUCCGUAGCUUGAUAUGCAAGUCUCUUGAGAAAUCCGCCAGCUUAACUGGUGGGCGUUCAGGGGAAACUGCAUUUCUAGGGACCGGGAGAGGUGAGAGGUACUGCCGGGGUAGGAGUGAAAUCCUGUAAUCCCGGUGGGACCACCUAUGGCGAAGGCAUCUCACCAGAACGGGUCCGACAGUGAGGGACGAAAGCUGGGGGAGCAAACCGGAUUAGAUACCCGGGUAGUCCCAGCUGUAAACGAUGCGCGUUAGGUGUGUCAGUGACCACGUGUCACUGAGGUGCCGAAGGGAAACCGUGAAACGCGCCGCCUGGGGAGUACGGUCGCAAGGCUGAAACUUAAAGGAAUUGGC